Molecule: ribosomal RNA, 506 nt
Filed under: uncultured bacterium
Lineage: Bacteria
Description: bacterial SSU rRNA
Rfam family: Bacterial small subunit ribosomal RNA
Source: RNAcentral
GAUGAACGCUAGCGAUAGGCCUAACACAUGCAAGUCGAGGGGCAUCACAUGAAGUAGCAAUACGGAUGGUGGCGACCGGCGCACGGGUGAGUAACACGUAUGCAACCUGCCUUCAACAAGGGGAUAACCCGUUGAAAGACGGACUAAUACCCUAUAAUACAGGGGUCCCGCAUGGGGAUAUUUGUUAAAGAUUGAUCGGUUGAAGAUGGGCAUGCGUUCCAUUAGCUGGUUGGUGAGGUAACGGCUCACCAAGGCAACGAUGGAUAGGGGAACUGAGAGGUUUAUCCCCCACACUGGUACUGAGACACGGACCAGACUCCUACGGGAGGCAGCAGUGAGGAAUAUUGGUCAAUGGACGCAAGUCUGAACCAGCCACGUCGCGUGAAGGAAGACGGCCCUACGGGUUGUAAACUUCUUUUGUAAGGGAAUAAAGUGUAGUACGCGUACUAUUUUGCAUGUACCUUACGAAUAAGGAUCGGCUAACUCCGUGCCAGCAGCCGCGGUAA